This 453-nucleotide ribosomal RNA is filed under the name uncultured Prevotella sp. RNAcentral's name for it is "partial 16S ribosomal RNA". It matches the Rfam family "Bacterial small subunit ribosomal RNA", at positions 341 to 792 of the family's 1533-position model. The record is from RNAcentral. Lineage: Bacteria; Pseudomonadati; Bacteroidota; Bacteroidia; Bacteroidales; Prevotellaceae.
ACGGGAGGCAGCAGUGAGGAAUAUUGGUCAAUGGGCGAGAGUCUGAACCAGCCAAGUAGCGUGCAGGAUGACGGCCCUAUGGGUUGUAAACUGCUUUUGUACGGGAAUAAAGUGACCUACGUGUAGGUUUUUGCAUGUACCGUAAGAAUAAGGACCGGCUAAUUCCGUGCCAGCAGCCGCGGUAAUACGGAAGGUCCGGGCGUUAUCCGGAUUUAUUGGGUUUAAAGGGUGCGUAGGCGGGAUGUUAAGUCAGCGGUGAAAGCGUGUAGCUCAACUAUACCAAGCCGUUGAAACUGGCGUUCUUGAGUGUAAACGAGGUAGGCGGAAUGUGACGUGUAGCGGUGAAAUGCUUAGAUAUGUCACAGAACCCCGAUUGCGAAGGCAGCUUACCAGCAUACAACUGACGCUGAGGCACGAAAGUGCGGGGAUCAAACAGGAUUAGAUACCCUGGUA